UAGGUGUUCUGUGCUGCUAGCUUUAGCCCUCGCGCCAGCGUGUUGUAGCGGUUCCUCGUCGUCGGCAUUGGGCAUUCAUGCGGUGAAGAUUCCCAGGCCGGACGUUCCACGCUGAAAACAAGCAGACGUCAAACGGUUGAGGCCGGAGUUUCAGCAAGACUUACCAAGCGAUCCCCCAGAGGUGGCAGUUUGCCAAGCGAUCCCCCAGAGGUGGCAGUUUGGUACUGUACGAAGUCUCGACCUAUGCGCAUUUAUUUCCAGUCACUUUGAAGGUUAGUGAUGUAACACUUGCGUUGUUCCGUGGGCUCAUGGAUUAUUACGUAAUUUUUGUUUCAUUGCGAGGUUUUCCAGCUGGCAUUGUACACGGAAGAUUCGCGUUAUGGUUACGGCUUUGCAUUUAUCUUGUUCAAAUAAAAAAAAAUGCUGUUUGCUAAAAGCGGCAUGACAUGGUCGCCGCGGGAA
Molecule: long non-coding RNA, 462 nt
Organism: Rhipicephalus microplus (southern cattle tick)
Lineage: Eukaryota; Metazoa; Arthropoda; Arachnida; Ixodida; Ixodidae
Source: RefSeq, a predicted model, not a curated record